RNAcentral lists this ribosomal RNA (270 nucleotides) under uncultured prokaryote. RNAcentral describes it as "partial 16S ribosomal RNA". It matches the Rfam family "Bacterial small subunit ribosomal RNA", at positions 524 to 792 of the family's 1533-position model. The record is from RNAcentral.
UACGUAGGUGGCGAUCGUUGUCCGGAUUUACUGGGCGUAAAGGGAGCGUAGGCGGACUUUUAAGUGAGAUGUGAAAUACCCGGGCUCAACUUGGGUGCUGCAAUUUCAAACUGGAAGUCUAGAGUGCAGGAGAGGAGAAUGGAAUUCCUAGUGUAGCGGUGAAAUGCGUAGAGAUUAGGAAGAACACCAGUGGCGAAGGCGAUUCUCUGGACCGUAACUGACGCUGAGGCUCGAAAGCGUGGGGAGCAAACAGGAUUAGAUACCCUGGUA